GGAUAGAAAAAUGGACAGCCCUGGUAGCGUAUUAUAUAUAAAGAAACGUCUGGCUUCAGCGAGACUACCUCCACCCCUCACAUGAGAGAAGCUGCCAUUCCCCACUAGAUUAGAUAGAGAACUACCUACUGUAUAUUUAGUUAAACAUAAAGAAGCUUUGCUUUUCAUUUGUUUCUUCUUUGUUUGUUUCCAUGCUCUUAUUCCUCCACUGUGUUUGUAUUAAAACACUUAAUCCCUGCCUUACACCCAAUAUUCUCAGGAUUUGAGUUCAGGCAAUGGAUAUGCAUAUUUGAGGUAUUUUGGGCUUAUUCAAUUAUUUUAUUCUUGGUUAGGAUGGCACUUAUUAUUUUACAACACUUACAUAGUACAGAGGAAGAUAGGAAAGGAUUCUGUCAUACAAUGUGUCAUAUUUUUUUUCUUUAAUUACAGGAGCAAAAACAUCAAAUGAAACAAAUGUAAAAGGUGAAUUCUACACUGGAAGAGUAAUUGUUGUUCACUGGCUCCCUGCAGAGUGGUACCGCUACUUUUUAUUCACAGUCUGGAUGUUAGAUAUUAUACUCAUCUUUAUAAUCAUGCACCUGAUGUUGGAUUUAGCCAAGUAUCAACAAGCUUGUGGGCAUUUGAAACAUUCCACAUCAAUAAAUCUAAGAGAUACAUGAAAGUAAAACAAAAGGUUUUUAGUGUUAAAGGACAAGUUAAAGAAUGACUAAACCAACUCAAAAAU
Molecule: long non-coding RNA, 724 nt
Organism: Erpetoichthys calabaricus (reedfish)
Lineage: Eukaryota; Metazoa; Chordata; Cladistia; Polypteriformes; Polypteridae
Exons: 3
Source: RefSeq, a predicted model, not a curated record